AUAAAUGUUUUCUUGUUUACAGCUGUUUAGAACUGACAUCUGGUUUCUGCAAAUAUGGUCCAGCAGUUGAGUCUUGUGUUUGCUGCAGUUGUGCUGCUUGGUUACAUGGAACCAAGUCUACAAG
Long non-coding RNA from Nematolebias whitei (Rio pearlfish), 124 nucleotides. RefSeq lists it as uncharacterized. NCBI's taxonomy places the organism in Eukaryota, Metazoa, Chordata, Actinopteri, Cyprinodontiformes, Rivulidae. The transcript has 3 exons. The record is from RefSeq and is a predicted model, not a curated record.